GGUGCCAGCAGCCGCGGUAAUUCCAGCUCAAUAGCGUAUAUUAAAGUUGUUGCAGUUAAAAGCUCGUAGUUGAAUUUCGGGGUCAGUAGAUUGGUCGUGCCACUGGUAUGCACUGGUCUUACUGGCUCCUCCUUCCUGAUGAACCGUAAUGCCAUUAAUUUGGUGUUGCGGGGAGACUGGACUGUUACUUUGAAAAAAUUAGAGUGUUUAAAGCAAGCUAACGCUUGAAUACAUUAGCAUGGAAUAAUGAAAUAGGACGUUCGAUCCUAUUUUAGUUGGUUUCUAAGAUUGACGUAAUGAUUAAUAGGGAUAGUUGGGGGCAUUAGUAUUCAAUUGUCAGAGGUGAAAUUCUUGGAUUUAUUGAAGACUAACUACUGCGAAAGCAUUUGCCAAGGAUGUUUUUAUUAAUCAAGAACGAAAGUUAGGGGGAUCGAAGACGAUCAGAUACCGUCGUAGUCUUAACCAUAAACUAUGCCGACUAGGGAUCGGAUGAUGUUAAUUUUUUUAAUGACUCAUUCGGCGCCUUACG
Molecule: ribosomal RNA, 529 nt
Filed under: uncultured Glomus
Lineage: Eukaryota; Fungi; Glomeromycota; Glomeromycetes; Glomerales; Glomeraceae
Description: SSU rRNA
Rfam family: Eukaryotic small subunit ribosomal RNA
Source: RNAcentral